Molecule: ribosomal RNA, 459 nt
Filed under: uncultured bacterium
Lineage: Bacteria
Description: partial 16S ribosomal RNA
Rfam family: Bacterial small subunit ribosomal RNA
Source: RNAcentral
CCUACGGGUGGCAGCAGUGAGGAAUAUUGGUCAAUGGGCGCGAGCCUGAACCAGCCAAGUAGCGUGAAGGAUGACUGCCCUAUGGGUUGUAAACUUCUUUUAUAUGGGAAUAAAAUGUUCCACGUGUGGGAUUUUGUAUGUACCAUAUGAAUAAGGAUCGGCUAACUCCGUGCCAGCAGCCGCGGUAAUACGGAGGAUCCGAGCGUUAUCCGGAUUUAUUGGGUUUAAAGGGAGCGUAGGUGGAUUUUUAAGUCAGCGGUAAAAUGUCCGGGCUCAACCCGGGCCGGCCGUUGAAACUGGGGAUCUUGAGUGGGCGAGAAGUAUGCGGAAUGCGUGGUGUAGCGGUGAAAUGCAUAGAUAUCACGCAGAACUCCGAUUGCGAAGGCAGCAUACCGGCGCCCGACUGACGCUGAGGCACGAAAGCGUGGGGAUCGAACAGGAUUAGAUACCCCAGUAGUC